CCCCCUGUAGCUCAACGGUAGAGCAUUCGGCUGUAGACCGAAGGGUUGCUGGUUCAAAUCCGGCCGGGGGGA
RNAcentral lists this transfer RNA (72 nucleotides) under Candidatus Woesearchaeota archaeon. RNAcentral describes it as "tRNA-Tyr". It matches the Rfam family "tRNA". From Rfam's summary of the family: Transfer RNA (tRNA) molecules are approximately 80 nucleotides in length. Their secondary structure includes four short double-helical elements and three loops (D, anti-codon, and T loops). RNAcentral also lists the same sequence under 2 other names. Lineage: Archaea; Nanobdellati; Candidatus Woesearchaeota. The record is from RNAcentral.